UCGCUGGUUGCCAACCACCAUUAAAUAACAAGAAGAAGAAAAUAUUGAUCUGCUUUUCUUAGUUUUGCACGUUUAAGACGCAAUUCAAACUCAAACAAAGCUGCAAAGCAGGAGAAAAACAUGACCAUCAACUAUUCUGUGCCACAGAUCCAGUUCGCUGCAGCACACAGUGAUGAUGAGAUGGUGGAAGAACAACAGAGACAAUUCGGACCGUUAACAUGUGCAACUUAGAAGUAGUCAGAGGUAACUGGAUGGAGUUCAGUCAGGUUAAAUGCACGGUUGAUUGGAUUAUAUCUGAAGAUCGUAUACUAUUCGUGACAACUCUGCUAGACUCCAAAUUGCUCGUCCAUGAGGGAUUAUCUCAAAAGUAAAUGAAACAACUAAACUUGACACUUUUUCCCUAAAACGGACUGACAUGGGAAACAUUAAAGUUGGAUUGACACCAGCUAAUCAGUCUGAAGAUGAUCCAUGGCCCAUGCUUUCUGGACAUUUACACAAGACGAACAUCAAUGGAGACAAGCUCUCUCACCAUCUUGCAAGACGCUGUCUCUGUCCAAUAGGUUUUUUGAGUGCAACAGUUUUGAUUUUUUUUUCCUUCUUUUACCCGUUUGUUAAAAAUUAUUUCAGCUACUUACACUUUAGUUGUCACAUGUAUUGGCUCACCCUACAAAUCAAUGAACUCAGUCCACAAAGCAAGAUCAGGGUUCAGUGCAGGUCAGUCAAGUUCCUUCACACCACACACCCUCAUCCAUGUCCUUGUGGACCUGGCUUUGUGCAUUGAUUUGGUGGUGUGAGCCAGUAUUUUGGCCAAAGUGUGUAUAGAGGCAGAAGUGUGGGGCUUGAUAUUAUAUUCAUUACAAUUCAGUUUAUUUGUAUGGUGCCAACAAAACGAAUGCCAAGGCACUUCACAUUGUAGAUUUAAGACCCUACAAAAUAUAACUAAGAAAACCCAACACUUGAGCAUAUGUUGUCUGCCAUGAUAUGGAUAUGACAUAAUAUUGUUAUUGUUUGUACAACCAUCUGAGAAAAUAAUGGAUUACAUGGUUUAGUAA
This is a long non-coding RNA of Oreochromis aureus, 1052 nucleotides long. RefSeq lists it as uncharacterized. The transcript has 2 exons. The record is from RefSeq and is a predicted model, not a curated record. NCBI's taxonomy places the organism in Eukaryota, Metazoa, Chordata, Actinopteri, Cichliformes, Cichlidae.